This 398-nucleotide ribosomal RNA is filed under the name uncultured bacterium. Its description in RNAcentral is "partial 16S ribosomal RNA". It matches the Rfam family "Bacterial small subunit ribosomal RNA", at positions 523 to 918 of the family's 1533-position model. The record is from RNAcentral.
AUACGUAGGGUGCGAGCGUUGUCCGGAAUUACUGGGCGUAAAGAGCUCAUAGGUGGUUUGUCGCGUUGUCUGUGAAAUUCCGGGGCUUAACUCCGGGCGUGCAGGCGAUACGGGCAUAACUUGAGUACUGUAGGGGAGACUGGAAUUCCUGGUGUAGCGGUGAAAUGCGCAGAUAUCAGGAGGAACACCGGUGGCGAAGGGGGGUCUCUGGGCAGUAACUGACGCUGAGGAGCGAAAGCAUGGGGAGCGAACAGGAUUAGAUACCCUGGUAGUCCAUGCCGUAAACGGUGGGCGCUAGGUGUAGGGGUCUUCCACGACUUCUGUGCCGUAGCUAACGCAUUAAGCGCCCCGCCUGGGGAGUACGGCCGCAAGGCUAAAACUCAAAUGAAUUGACGGGG